AGUAACGGCGAGUGAACGGAGAUUAGCCCAGCAUCGAAGCCAAUUCGUGAAUACGGACAAGGCAAUGUGAUGUUUAGGCACGCAUCUUGGAUGGCUCGUCUAUUCGAAGUCCAACUCCGAUUAUGGCUUUGGAUUUGUCCCAUAGAGGGUGAAAGGCCCGUUCGAGUAGACACUGUUGUUUUUGAGCCUUCUUUUGAUAUGCGUGCUUUGGAGUCGGAUUGCUUGAGAAUGCAGUCCAAAGUGGGUGGUAAACUCCAUCCAAGGCUAAAUACUGGCACGAGUCCGAUAGUAGACAAGUACCGUGAGGGAAAGUUGAAAAGUACUCUGAAGAGAGAGUAAAUAGUACGUGAAGCCGACUGAAUGGAAUCUGGUGGAGUCAAGCUUCUUGCCUUCGGAAUUGGCACAAGGAUUCUUUUUGUUCUUUUGAAGCGUGGCGCGGUUAGCUUGUAAAUAGCUUGGUGGUUCGCCAUCUUAAGUUAUCCGGGCUGGUCACUUGUAAUGCGCCGUGUUCUUUGAUCCUUUGUGUUAUUUCCUUGGGCAUGUAUCAUGGUCAAUAUGCUUGCUGUGUGUGUCAGUCAAACCGGAUUUUUGUGAGUAAUAGCUUGCUUGAUUCGGGAGGGCAGGUGGUGACUGUUUGGUUUUUAUCAUUCAGUCACGUAUAGUGGUUUUACUUGCCGACUGGAACGCUUUAAAUACUGUCAAGUGUAUUGUUUUUAUAAUAAAUGUUGCCUCGUCGGGCGCUUUUAUGAGAGCCAUGGUUUUGAAGUAGACCUUCCUCCGGACCCGUCUUGAAACACGGACCAAGGAGUUUAACUUGCUCGCGAGUCAAUGGAUUGUUCUCAAAUCCAGUGGCGCAAUGAAAGUGAACGGUUGCUUUUCGUAGCCGAAGGUGUGAUCUUUGCUAGUCCUGAACAGGGUGGCAGGUAGUAACACCGGCCCGUCUCGUAAUGUAGUCACGCUAGUUACGGCUGGUGUGCGUCAUUGAGGCGGAGCAAGAGCGAGCAGGUUGAGACCCGAAAGAUGGUGAACUAUGCUUGCGUAGGUUGAAGCCAGAGGAAACUCUGGUGGAGGACCGUCGCGGUUUUGACGUGCAAAUCGAUCGUCAAACGUGAGCAUAGGGGCGAAAGACUAAUCGAACCAUCUAGUAGCUGGUUCCCUCCGAAGUUUCCCUCAGGAUAGCUGGCACUCAUUUAAUACAGUUUUAUCCGGUAAAGCGAAUGAUUAGAGGUAUUGGGGACUAUAUGACCUCAACCUAUUCUCAAACUAUAAAUGGGUACGAUGCAUGGCUCGCUUAAUUGGAGUUGUGCAUUGAAUGUGAGUGCCAAGUGGGCCAUUUUUGGUAAGCAGAACUGGCGCUGUGGGAUGCUCCGAACGUCAAGAUAAGGUGCCCAAUGUUGACGCUCAUGAGACACCACAAAAGGUGUUAAUGCAUAUAGACAGCAGGACGGUGGCCAUGAAAGUCGGAAUCCGCUAAGGAG
Molecule: ribosomal RNA, 1478 nt
Filed under: Ancyrocephalinae gen. sp. 23 IBC-2015
Lineage: Eukaryota; Metazoa; Platyhelminthes; Monogenea; Dactylogyridea; Dactylogyridae
Description: eukaryotic LSU rRNA
Rfam family: Eukaryotic large subunit ribosomal RNA
Source: RNAcentral